AGAAAUCCAGUGACAAGAGAUCUCUCAAAGUAAUCAAAACGUUAAAUAUUUGAUUGCAGACAUUCUUUUUUAUUUUUUGGUCAUUCAUUGCAAAUUUUGUACAUUUACCUCUGCCUAAAAGUAUCUAUUGGUUGUUCAACCACUGGAAUUAUCCCUUUAAAAGUACCGCCUCCAGAGGCAAAACAUAAAGUCCAGUUUCCUUCCUUUACAGCAUCAUAAAGACCUGGAUGAUUGAUAUUUGAUUUGAACAUUUGUUAUUAAUGUUGGUGAUUGAUUAUGAUUUCUGACAUCAAUAGAUUUAUAAAUGACCAUGCUUCCCUUUCUUACUUUCAGUUAUCUGUCCCCCCACUGGUGUGACCUCUGUGACAAGCUGCAACAACAGUGAAAUUACAGUGAGCUGGGACUUGAGUGCAGAGAGCGGAGUGGAAUACAUCAUCCACUCGCAGAACGACAAGAACACUCCUGCUAACUACAACACCUUUCAGACGUUUUACACUGUCAAAGGGCUGCAUUGUGGGGAGCUGCACACAUUUGCAGUUGCUGCCAAGAACUCUGCGUGCAGCAGUGUCUUUAGCAGAGAGACACAUAGUGCAACAGCUCCAUGUGCUCCAACUAACCUGGUAGUCAAAACUGAAUGUGGUGCUAACUUGGCAAUUCUAAACUGGGCUCCCAGUUUAUACGCCAUCUCCUACAGAGCUACCUUUACUGGAACCCAUAACCACACUGUUUCCUGUUCUACUAAUUCAACAACCUGCUCAGUAAAAGUCGACUGUGGACACCAGUACUCAGCAGUUGUGGUCGCUUCUACCGCAUCAUGCAGCAGCAGUUCUUCACCUUUAACUUUUAACUCAGGUAAGUGUUCAGCUUUUGUUUUUGCUUUGAUCAGAAAAAUCACCGACCAGAUUGUGGAAUGGAAACGUUUUCUGCCUCCAAAACAGCUCCCUGUCUGCCUGACCGCCUGCAAGCCGAGCUGAACUGCAGCACCAACAGCUUUUUCGUGCACUGGAGAGGGAGCGUCGGGAAUGUUGGUUUGUACACUGCCAUCGCCAUUGGCAGUGACGGCUCGCGUGUGAGCUGUAAUUCCACCAGUACUGAAUGCACCAUUCACAACGUGAAGUGUGGCCUCCUGUACAGCGUCGUUGUCACCAUGUCAUCUGUUGACUGUGCCGUCAUCCAGGGCUCAGACUACAAGAUCUAUUCAGGUAAAAGAACAUAGUGUGAAGAUUUAGCAUUAUUUAAAAGAGAGAAAAUAUUGUUUAUGGAAAAAAAAGAU
Molecule: long non-coding RNA, 1273 nt
Filed under: Oryzias sinensis (Chinese medaka)
Lineage: Eukaryota; Metazoa; Chordata; Actinopteri; Beloniformes; Adrianichthyidae
Description: lncRNA (ENSOSIG00000008143.1)
Source: RNAcentral